UCCGGACAAUCGCUCUCGGCUUCUCCCCCUGAAAUCAUCGCAAAAAUAGGAUGCAUUCCUUCGGAUACAGAGCCAAUGCUCUGCUUACUCUAGCAGUCACCAUUCUUGCUAUUAUCUGCGCUGCUGCUUCUUUCUCUGGUGAUCAAUAUCCAAAGGCUCCACAAAUUUUCCAAUGGCAAUGACGAUGUAAUUUUUCGAUUAGGGUUCUUUUCUUUCUCGAUUCGUCAUUAUUUGAUGGGAAUUGAGAUGUAAUUACUAUCUAAGCAUUUGGAUUACUCCGAGUGUUGGCUGAUAAUGUUAGUUUGUUUAAGAAUUCGAUGAAGCGUUUAGUAGGAUCAUCUUUUAAUGGAAAACUUUACGCUAUUGCGACGAAGAAGGUUCUAGAAGUUUAUGAGUUGCGAUAAGCAUCCGUAAAAGGGUGGAGGGAUACCUGUUAACAUUGAAAUGAAUUUUCGGAAAAUAAGGAUGGGUGUUUUGAGAUUGGCGGAUAGAUAAAUUUGCAUUGAAUCAAUAAACCCUAAUCUUCUUCUAAUGUUGAAAGGUAGAAGUAUCCGUUAAUCCCAAUUUGAUCUUUUAAUAAACUUUAGUUAAUCUUCCAUGGAUGAUGUAUACAUUCCAAGUUUCCAAAAUCAAAAAUCUUUAAACACCAUGAUUAAUCCUAGGCCUAGAAUAAUAACAAAAAACGAUGAUCAGGGAUAAAAGAGACUGGGCAAAUCUUCCAUUAAAAGCCCUUCGAUCAAUCUCAGACAUCUACAAAACCAUAAUAACUACAACACCCUAUAUAGUUUACAAUCCAUCUGCAAGAAUUGACAGCAAUCAGACUCCAAAUCUGCAAUCUUUCCUCGCCAUAUUAGACUCUAUGUCGGCAAUCUUUCCUCGCCAUAUUACCUAAUCAGAUCGAGUAAUGUAUUCAUUAGGCGUAUAUCUAAUCCAUCCUAAACAACAUCAUUCAUCCCCAAUCAUUGAUGAUGUUCCUUUUCUAGUUAGUAUCGUCCAUCUUUCCAGUGGCAAAAUUCAUCGAUGCAAGUUUACAUGCGGGUUAUUCGUGAGCAAGUUUUAUAAUUUCUUUGUUAAGGCUUUUGAGAUUCCUUGUUGCAAUUUGAGUAGUCGUAUAGUCUUCUCUAGUAAUGUUUUUCUUGAUUAUAAUGAAUGGUGAAAAUGAUUGAUCUAAUAUUCACAAAAAAUAAGUUUUUGUUUACAAGCUUGGACAAGAUUACAAUGACAUCCAACUUAUUUCGUUGUCUCUGGAUUAUCUGUUAAGCUUUGGACAAUAACAUCAUGGAUUUAUAAGUAUUAUCAUGCAGCAAUGGAAUUGUUCAAAGCUUAAUUCUUUAACGAAAUGGUUCUCGUUGCUGCAUGAUAAUCCUCAUAAAUCCAUGAUGAUAUUGUCCAAAGCUUAACAUGAAAUCCGGAUAUGUUGAAAUAAGUUGAAUGUUAUUGUAAUGUUGUCCAAGCUUGUAAACAAAACUUCUUUUCGAUAAACAUUAGACCAACCAUUUCCACCAUUCCAAAUAUAAUUAGGAAAAACAUUACUACAGAAGACUAUACAAUUACUCAAAAUUCAACAAGGAAUCUCAGAUAUCCUAACAAAAAGAUUAUAAAACUUGAUCACAAAUACCCUGCAUCGAUGAAUUUUGCCGUUGGAGAGAUGUACGAUAUUGACUAGGAAAGGAAGAUCAUCGGUGGCUGAGGAUGAAUGAUGUUGUUUAGGAUGGAUUAGAUAUACGCUUGAUGAAUACAUUACUCGAUUUGAUUAGGUAAUAUGUCGAGGAUAGAUUGCAAAGAUGGAGUUUGAUUGCCGCCAAUUCUUGCAAAUGGAUUGUAAACUGCAUAAGGUGUUGCGGUCAUUAUGGUUUGCAGAUGUUCUGAAAUUGAUCGAAGGACUUUUAAUGGAAGAUUUGCCCAAUUUCUUUUAUCCCCUGAUCAUUGUUUUUUGUUAUUAUUCUAGGCCUAAGCUUGAUCAUGGUGUUUGACGAUUUUGAUAUUGGAAACUUGAAAUGGAUAAAUCUUCCAUUGAAGAUUAGCUAGGGUUUAUUGAAUGAUCGAAUUAGGAUUAACAAAUGCUUUUACCUUUCAACAGAAAAAGACGAUUAGGGUUUAUUGAUUCAAUGCAAAUUCAUCUAUUCGACCCAAUCUUCGGAACAUCCAUCGUUUAUUUUCCGAAAAUUCAUUUUCAUGUUUACAAAUUUCCGUUCACCCUUUUAACGGAAGCAAGCUUAUCAUGGUCGCAUCUACAUGGGAGCUGAAGACGUGUCUGAAAAUUUUGAACUUCUAUCUUCCCUAUAGUUUGCAGCAAUGUCUCGUUCCCACUAUUCCUUGUUUGAAUAAGUGUUUGUUUUUGGCUUUGAUACCAUGAUAAAUUUGUUAACAGACUUGUAGACAACAAGACCCGCAUAAGAGGAGAGUUGGCUGCACAUAAACCCAAUGAGGUUCCAUCCUAAAACCAAUUGGUAUUAGGAGGAGUAGCUCAUCAAGUAUAUAUAUUAGUUAACUCUUUAAUUCUUCGAUGUGGGAUGACAAUUACUUGUUCUUUUUGUCUUCAUAUCUUUAAUUACUUCACCCGGAUGUUUGAAAUGCAUGUUAGGGUUUUCAUUUUCAUAUUUCAAACUGUUGUCCUGUAGAUACUGCUAUAGUAUUGUGCACUAUCUGUGCAAUUACGUUAUGCAAGUAUUUUAGGGAAAAACUGUAAAGCUAUUGCAGGAUUUUGGAUUGAAUUUGAGCAAUCAUGGGUUCAUAUCAUUUUUAAAAAGGAAAAUUAGAUGAAUGGUACCUCCAAAUUUUUAUUUUUCUUUUUUAGUUGACAACAUGUUCUUUUAUAUAGAUAUGAACUACCUAUGUAUGCUUUUGAGCUGGAUUUUAAGUCUAGUUUGGUUACUUUAAUAGUUUGACUAAGUGCACAUGAUUUAAGGAUACAUGUUGAACACAUUUGUAGUCCAACUGAUAUCUUUUCACAAUGAGUCAUGGAAUGGAAAAGUUGAAUCAUAUGAAACUAGGUACUUUUUUAUUUAUGAAACUUAAGGGCUCUUGUGAAACAAAUGUUGUUUAUCCUUAAGUUCGUACUUUUUUUAGUAGUAGCGUUGGUUUUGUCUUGUUAUUAUUCCUGGAAAUAAUUACAAGAUUAUUGUUGUGUCUAUGACUAUGCACAAUGUUUAUGGUCUACCACCUUCAGUUUCCCAUUCUUCUUAGUGUAAUUUCAUUUAAUUGAGGAAAGGAUGGACAUUUUAAAUAUCUUAUAAGAUCAAUGUCCAAAUAAAAUUAUUUCUGUGAACUAUGGAUUUUUGAUGAGAAUACACUUAUUUGUGUGUAAUUAAUUCUGCUCUGUAAUGCUCUCAUUGUUUUCCUUUAAUGUUUUAUUUGUAGGCUUUUUUUGUUGCUAGAAUUAUGGUGUUUUACCUUUACUUUAGUGACAACUCUCCUUUGAAUAUACUUACCGUGGUGCAGCUUGCGAUGGUGUUGAAUAUUUCUGCAGGUCUCCAGUCACUGUUUACAUGGAAUACAAAACAGGUUCAUUGUAUCAUGCUUUAGAAGAAAUUGUUAUGAUAUUUUCCAGCCAUGAGCUGUUGUAUAUUUCAGUAGUUUGAAUACCUACCUAUAGAAAACUGAUACUUAUUGCAUAGAGGUUAGUUUUAUUGUUAUUGGAUGUAUAUUUGUUUGCCACACGUCAUGUGCUAGCUUGUGAACUAAGUACCAUCGCCUAUAACGUAGACCAGGCUUAGCCUUAUAUGCUUUUGUUAAAUCUGUAACAAGUAAGAAGGGAAUAAUGUUUAUGUAUGCACUAGUUCCAUAGGGAAGUGGACUUGAAUGGAUGUUCAAGUACAACAUUGUUAUUUACAAGGGUGUAGUGAAAAGACUCAAUACUUUUUGACACCCUAUUUAUUUUGCAUUUUUCUUGAAGUUUUGAGACCUAAAAAUAAAUAGUUAAAACUAAUCAAGAAAUGUAAAGUCAUAUUUGAGGCCCCUUAAUUUAAGAGAUCGGUUGCGCAUCUUGCACAUACCUUGCUCCACUCCUAUUAUUCAUCUGAUAUGAAAUCAUUUGCCCUUAUGAUGUACUUCUAUAUUUAUCAUCAGAGACAGAGAAUAGAGAAGGCAAAAGAAGACAACUAAUUCCAAUGUUUCAAGUGAAUAAACAACUCUUCUUUGUUGUAUGCCAUAUGAUUUGUGCCUAGCUGCGUGUAUGGGAGUUAUGCAAACAAUCUCCCAUUUUUGGUGUUUGCAUUUGUUGCUGCGGAGUAUGAAACAGAUAAAAAUGCACUGAAUCAGGUGAUUUUACACUGCUAUCCUGCAUAAGAAUAUCCUUCUAGAUUCUUUAAUAAUCAGUAGGUUGUUUCCUUUUUUUUUUUUUUUGUAUUCAUAAAAAAUUCCACUAAACUACCAGUAACAACAUAUUAUUACUUCAAUGUCAUUAAGAGCAUGGACAUCAAUUUACCUUCCCAUAUACUUGGUUCAUUUUAUCUCUCCUUUCCUUCUAUUGCCACAUCAUUUGUCACUAACUUUUCCAAUCUACCUCCCUAUGUUUAUUUUACAAUUUCCAAUUUUUACCUUCUCGUAUACUAUUUAACUUUCUUACUCAUACUUUUCUAUAGAGGACGUAUAGUUAUAAAGCAGAUAUUUGAGAGAGUAGUAAAUCACCCUUAUGUGUUCCCAAUUUAUAUGAGGAUUUUUGAGAUUUUAUUUUAUAUUUUUCUUUUUUUGUUUAUUUUUAUUAUGUAUUUUGUCUUUUUUUUAUUUAUUUGCAAAUAACCGUUAUUGUUGGAUUUUCUAUUUUCAUACCCAUCACAUUUUCUCUCUCUCUUAUCUCAAAUUAUUUUGUCAAACCUUUUUUUAUAUCCAUGGACCAAUUACUUUUAUUUUAUUAACCUAAUGAAUCGUAAUUGUUGGAACUUAAGUAAUUAGUCGAUAUUAGCCUUAAUUGCUACAAAAGUUAUUAUCAAAACAUUUAAUUUAAUAAUGCAUUACAAUUUCUUCAUUAGUCAUAAAUAUAUCCGUACAUUAUCUUUAAUUGAAAAGAAAUUAUACACCACGCAAAAUAAUUAACCUAAAUACAUAUUAUUCAAUUAACUAUAAAUUAAUCAUCAACCUACCACCACACUUUUGCCAAAUAUGUUGUACUAGGUCUCUCUAUAGUGCAUUAUGGACAUUUUAACCCUAAACUUAUUGUCUUUAUUCCAUGUAUUGCUGCAAACCUAGAUUAUUAAAUAUACCAACUCUCACUUUGUAAGUGAUAAUGUUUGAAGAUGUUUUAGCAUCAACAUAUUAAAGGUUAUCCUCCUCGAAGGCUCUCACAUGACACAUCAUUCUCAUAAUAUCGCGUUCAUCCUUGAAGAUCAUAUUAUGGAGAAUAAUACAUGCCUACAUUAUCUUCCGCAUUAGCUUCUCUUUCCAAACAAGAGAUAGUCUUUGUAUAAUUGCAAAACAUGCUUGUAGAAACAAAGGCUCGUUCAACAUCUUUAGUGACCGAUUCUUGACUUCUUUUGAAGAAUGAUUCUGGUUCGCUAAGUGGGAGUCAAACACAACUCACUUUGGAUAUAUUCCAUCUAUGAGGAAGUAACCCUUAUUGUUAUAAAUGGUAUCAUGUGUGACUUGAGUGCACAAUUGAAGUGUGUAUUCAUGUGUGUAACUCUUGAGUUGUGGAAUCCAAAAGGGUGUGAUUAUGUGGAAGAGUAUUCAUGUGAAUUAUUGGUGUUAAUGAAGAUUAAUGAAGAAGUACAAAGGACUUGGUUUAUGAUUGCUCGAUCAGAAUUCUGGCAGAGGAAACAGAAUGGUUGCUCGACCUACCCACUUGACCGAGCGAGCCUUAUUUGUUGGUCGAGCGGUCAGACAGAAUGCAUCCAGAAGGUAUCUGCUACUCGCUCGACCGAGCGAGCUCUCUGUUCUAGUCGAGCGGUUUCUCUGAUGCGCAUGGAAUGCUGUUUUUCGACCUUUCAAGUUCUUGGAGUUAUUUCAUAUUAUUCAUUACUCUAUAUUAACUCUGUAUUCAAGUGAGCUAUUGACAUUCAUGUACCUAGUACUAUAUAUAGAGCUCUCAUACUCACUCAAAUAUACAUCAAACACAACCCCUAAGCCAAACACAUAGCCUUUUGUUUUUAUCUCUUACACAAUUGUAAUACUUCAUUUGUAAGUGUUGUUUAUACUUCUUUGAUAUAAUAUAAACAGAAACUACACACCACGGAGGACGUAGUCAUCAUUGGGUGAGCCUCCUUAAAUCUUUGUGUCACCUUUUUCUUAGUUUACAUUAUCAAACAUUGUUUUGUUUAUUGUUGUUUGUAUCGUUCUUAACAUCGUAACGAUUUUAGCAAACAUUUCACUUAUUGUAUGCUUAAGUUAAAUGUCACCUUUGGAGCUUUGCCUUGAUAAAUGUCAUCAAACAAUAGUUUGAACAUUGAUGUCAUUACCAUCUGGAUUUUUCAAUCCUCUUUCAUAUUGGUUAAUGUGCUCUUAAACUUAUCUAAUUGCAAUGCAGCUCCCUUGAGAUUUCUUUGUGCUUCACUUUCUUCACGCCAUCAAGACGUGAGCCUCACUUAACCCCUUUGAACUACCAGCACUCAAAUUGGGAGUAUAUUUUCUCAUAUUCCACCGAGUUGAAUUUUCUCUCAAGGGGCUCAAGUGCUCAACAUAAUGAUGAAAAUUGAAAUUCUUACGACAUACAUCAAAGAACAACUAAUUGGCCUUAUCAUCAAUGUCGGUGAUAUACGUACCACUUUCUCACAAACUUUCUACCUCACCAUACAACAAAAUCUAUAAAGUGAUGUCCGUAUUGAUGUUAGUCCAACAAAGUUUCAAAGAUUUCGUAGGCCUCUACAUCAUAUGUUUGCUUGAUCUUCUUAUACAAGAUAGGCUUUUUUGAUCGAUGCUGUUUAUUACAUCACCUCCCCAAUUUAAGACACUUGAUAAUAGAGCUAAAUCUUCAGCAUUCGUCCAUCUUUCUUUCGUUACCUUUCCUUUUUCUAUCUUGAUGAAUCUCCUUGAACUUCAUCAUCAUUAGCAAUAAUUUCUUGAGUAGGAAUAACCUCCUUGACUUGUGAUCUAUUGCUACUACCAUCCCCUGAUGUGGUUGGAGAGUGAUCCAUAUGUUGUGAAUUUGGACAGCUUGGCACCAAUGUGGGAGGGUAUUGAGUUUGUGGAAAAAUUUGUUGAUAAUUUUGGUAAUUUGGAUUUUGGGCAAGAUAUGUUUGGACCAUGGCUUGAAAUUGAGGAGUACUAAAAAAAUGAUCCAUUUGGGGGCAGUUAGUAGAACUUGGAUUUUGAUUAUUAUUGAGAUUUUUGUUGGGAGGUUGGAUUUGGUGAUAAUUUCUAAAACUUGGGUUUUCUUGGGAGCUUGAAUUUGUUGGGUAAGUUGGAUUUUGCCAAUUUUCAUAAUUAGGAUUAUUGCUAUCCAUAAUUAUUAUUGAAAAAUAUAUUAUUAGGGAAUAAUUAGAAGAUCAUGAGAGAUAAGUGUAAAAUAUGCAGUUUGUUAAAAUGGAGAAAGUAUAGCGAUAUUAGUAUCUAUUUGUAGAUGAUGAAAGAUAUAAACAUCAACAUGAUUUUUUUUUUUGAGUUGUAUUUUUUUUUCAGAAAUUGAGAAAAAUAAUUUCUUAAUGAUUUCACAAUCCUUUA
Molecule: RNA transcript, 7593 nt
Organism: Amaranthus tricolor (Joseph's coat)
Lineage: Eukaryota; Viridiplantae; Streptophyta; Magnoliopsida; Caryophyllales; Amaranthaceae
Gene name: signal peptidase complex subunit 3B-like
Exons: 3
Source: RefSeq, a predicted model, not a curated record